GAUGAAGAACGCAGCGAAAUGCGAUAAGUAAUGUGAAUUGCAGAAUUCAGUGAAUCAUCGAAUCUUUGAACGCACAUUGCGCCCUCUGGUAUUCCGGGGGGCAUGCCUGUUCGAGCGUCAUUAUAACCACUCAAGCUCUCGCUUGGUAUUGGGGUUCGCGGUUCCGCGGCCCCUAAAAUCAGUGGCGGUGCCUGUCGGCUCUACGCGUAGUAAUACUCCUCGCGAUUGAGUCCGGUAGGUCUACUUGCCAGCAACCCCCAAUUUUUACAGGUUGACCUCGGAUCAGGUAGGGAUACCCGCUGAACUUAAGCAUAUCAAUAAGCGAGGA
Molecule: unclassified non-coding RNA, 328 nt
Filed under: soil metagenome
Description: partial contains 5.8S ribosomal RNA, internal transcribed spacer 2, and large subunit ribosomal RNA
Rfam family: 5.8S ribosomal RNA (bases 1-120)
Source: RNAcentral